Molecule: ribosomal RNA, 421 nt
Filed under: uncultured bacterium
Lineage: Bacteria
Description: partial 16S ribosomal RNA
Rfam family: Bacterial small subunit ribosomal RNA
Source: RNAcentral
AUCUUCCACAAUGGGCGAAAGCCUGAUGGAGCAACGCCGCGUGAGUGAAGAAGGUUUUCGGAUCGUAAAACUCUGUUGUAAGGGAAGAACAAGUACAGUAGUAACUGCCGGUACCUUGACGGUACCUGACGAGAAAGCCACGGCUAACUACGUGCCAGCAGCCGCGGUAAUACGUAGGUGGCAAGCGUUGUCCGGAUUUAUUGGGCGUAAGGCGCGCGCAGGCGGUCUUUUAAGUCUGAUGUGAAAUCUUACAGCUUAACUGUAAGCGGUCAUUGGAAACUGGGAGACUUGAGUGCAGAAGAGGAGAGUGGAAUUCCAUGUGUAGCGGUGAAAUGCGUAGAGAUAUGGAGGAACACCAGUGGCGAAGGCGACUCUCUGGUCUGUAACUGACACUGAGGUGCGAAAGCGUGGGGAGCAAACA